UUCAUUUUCAAGAAUAUUACAAUCAGAAUAUAUAUUAAAUCAUUCCUAUACUUAGAACUUAGUCAUGAAUUGUCUAUUAAAAAGCACUACAACAUCCAACGUUAACCAUUUCUUUUCCAACAAAAAUGCUUGCAACCAGAAUAAUUAGCAAGCUAAACGUCUUUCAAUCAAAAUCCACGAGAAUUAUUGGGAGCUUAACAACGUAAAAUUUUGUGGUUCUAAACGAGCAGGGUGCAAUCUUUUUCAAGAAUAUCAUACGGAUAUUUCACUACUCCAGGUAUGUUAAGGCUAUCCCUUCUUUUUUUUGGCAUGAUCCAUACGAUACGAAGGAAACUUGCAAAAGUACAAAUUCCAUAAAUGACUCUAUUCAUAGAAGUAUUAGAGAUAUCUAUGUUCCUGAAUUUCCAUGUGUCAUAAUAUUUUAUCAUCUGUUCAUGGAUCUCAGAAAAAUACGAAAGUUGAAAAGAGUUUACUUUAUGAUAUUGCUCAAGACACAAUGGUCUUAUAAAAUUCCGAAAGAUUUUAUUAAUGUACUUUUCAUGCAUUGCAUUCAUGAGCAUUGACCCCUAACCAUAUGGCGUAAUAUACGCGUAUAUAUGUAAAUAUAUGUAUAUGAGAUAUGAGAAAAGGUUACGGCGUUAUAUGCGCAUCACCACCUAAUCAGCUGGUAUAUGAUGAUGAUGUUGCCACAGUGGCUGAAAUAUGAUUCAAACGGCAUUAUAUACGCGUAUAUAUGUAUGUAUAUAUAUGUAUAUGGGAUAUGGGAAAGGUUAUAGCGUUAUAUAUGCACCACCACCUAAUCAACUGAUAUAUGAUGAUGAUUUUGCUCACAGUGGCCGAUAUGAUAUGACGGGAUGCCCUCAGAGGCUGAUGAUGUUAUGAAACAUGUACAUAUGCACGACAUGACAUUCAUA
RNAcentral lists this long non-coding RNA (914 nucleotides) under Nicotiana tabacum (common tobacco). Its description in RNAcentral is "long non-coding RNA (NTAB_LNC014598)". The record is from RNAcentral. Lineage: Eukaryota; Viridiplantae; Streptophyta; Magnoliopsida; Solanales; Solanaceae.